RNAcentral lists this transfer RNA (34 nucleotides) under Oloptum miliaceum (smilo grass). RNAcentral's name for it is "partial transfer RNA-Lys". The record is from RNAcentral. Lineage: Eukaryota; Viridiplantae; Streptophyta; Magnoliopsida; Poales; Poaceae.
CGACUAGUUCCGGGUUCGAGUCCCGGGCAACCCA